This 433-nucleotide ribosomal RNA is filed under the name uncultured bacterium. Its description in RNAcentral is "partial 16S ribosomal RNA". It matches the Rfam family "Bacterial small subunit ribosomal RNA", at positions 29 to 507 of the family's 1533-position model. The record is from RNAcentral.
AACGAACGCUGGCGGCAUGCCUAACACAUGCAAGUCGAACGAGACCUUCGGGUCUAGUGGCGCACGGGUGCGUAACGCGUGGGAACCUGCCCUUAGGUUCGGAAUAACUCCCCGAAAGGUGUGCUAAUACCGGUUAAUGUCUUCGGACCAAAGAUUUAUCGCCUUUGGAUGGGCCCGCGUUGGAUUAGCUAGUUGGUAGUGUAAAAGCCUACCAAGGCGAGGAUCCAUAGCUGGUCUGAGAGGAUGAUCAGCCACACUGGGACUGAGACACGGACCAGACCGCUACGGAAGGGAGCAGUGGGGAAUAUUGGAGAAUGGGCGAAAGCCUGAUCAAGCAAUGCGGCGUGAGUGAUGAAGGCGUUAGGGUUGUAAAGCUCUUUUACCCGGGAUGAUAAUGACAGUACCGGGAGAAUAAGCUCCGGCUAACUACGUG